This 497-nucleotide ribosomal RNA is filed under the name uncultured bacterium. RNAcentral describes it as "partial 16S ribosomal RNA". It matches the Rfam family "Bacterial small subunit ribosomal RNA", at positions 28 to 507 of the family's 1533-position model. The record is from RNAcentral.
GAUGAACGCUGGCGGCGUGCCUAAUACAUGCAAGUCGAGCGAACAGACGAGGAUCUUGCUCCUCCGACGUAAGCGGCGGACGGGUGAGUAACACGUGGAUAACCUACCUAUAAGACUGGGAUAACUUCGGGAAACCGGAGCUAAUACCGGAUAAUAUAUUGAACCGCAUGGUUCAAUAGUGAAAGACGGUUUUGCUGUCACUUAUAGAUGGCUCCGCGCCGCAUUAGCUAGUUGGUAAGGUAACGGCUUACCAAGGCAACGAUUCGUAGCCGACCUGAGAGGGUGAUCGGCCACACUGGAACUGAGACACGGUACAGUCUCCUACGGGAAGCAGCAGUAGGGAAUCUUCCGCAAUGGGCGGAAGCUUGACGGAGCAACGCCGCGUGAGUGAUGAAGGUCUUCGGAUCGUAAAACUCUGUUAUUAGGGAAGAACAAAUGUGUAAGUAACUAUGCACGUCUUGACGGUACCUAAUCAGAAAGCCACGGCUAACUACGUG